This 467-nucleotide ribosomal RNA is filed under the name uncultured bacterium. Its description in RNAcentral is "partial 16S ribosomal RNA". It matches the Rfam family "Bacterial small subunit ribosomal RNA", at positions 28 to 506 of the family's 1533-position model. The record is from RNAcentral.
GAUGAACGCUGGCGGCGUGCUUAACACAUGCAAGUCGAACGGUGAAGGCGGAGCUUGCUCUGCUGGAUCAGUGGCGAACGGGUGAGUAACACGUGAGCAAUCUGCCCCUGACUCUGGGAUAAGCGCUGGAAACGGCGUCUAAUACUGGAUACGAGCUGCGAAGGCAUCUUCAGCAGCUGGAAAGAAUUUCGGUCAGGGAUGAGCUCGCGGCCUAUCAGCUUGUUGGUGAGGUAAUGGCUCACCAAGGCGUCGACGGGUAGCCGGCCUGAGAGGGUGACCGGCCACACGGGGACUGAGACACGGCCCAGACUCCUACGGGAGGCAGCAGUGGGGAAUAUUGCACGAUGGGCGGAAGCCUGAUGCAGCAACGCCGCGUGAGGGACGACGGCCUUCGGGUUGUAAACCUCUUUUAGCAGGGAAGAAGCGAAAGUGACGGUACCGGCAGAAAAAGCGCCGGCUAACUACGU